Molecule: ribosomal RNA, 1529 nt
Filed under: Escherichia coli
Lineage: Bacteria; Pseudomonadati; Pseudomonadota; Gammaproteobacteria; Enterobacterales; Enterobacteriaceae
Description: partial 23S ribosomal RNA
Rfam family: Bacterial large subunit ribosomal RNA
Source: RNAcentral
UGAGGCGAACCGGGGGAACUGAAACAUCUAAGUACCCCGAGGAAAAGAAAUCAACCGAGAUUCCCCCAGUAGCGGCGAGCGAACGGGGAGGAGCCCAGAGCCUGAAUCAGUGUGUGUGUUAGUGGAAGCGUCUGGAAAGGCGCGCGAUACAGGGUGACAGCCCCGUACACAAAAAUGCACAUACUGUGAGCUCGAUGAGUAGGGCGGGACACGUGGUAUCCUGUCUGAAUAUGGGGGGACCAUCCUCCAAGGCUAAAUACUCCUGACUGACCGAUAGUGAACCAGUACCGUGAGGGAAAGGCGAAAAGAACCCCGGCGAGGGGAGUGAAAAAGAACCUGAAACCGUGUACGUACAAGCAGUGGGAGCCUCUUUUAUGGGGUGACUGCGUACCUUUUGUAUAAUGGGUCAGCGACUUAUAUUCUGUAGCAAGGUUAACCGAAUAGGGGAGCCGAAGGGAAACCGAGUCUUAACUGGGCGUUAAGUUGCAGGGUAUAGACCCGAAACCCGGUGAUCUAGCCAUGGGCAGGUUGAAGGUUGGGUAACACUAACUGGAGGACCGAACCGACUAAUGUUGAAAAAUUAGCGGAUGACUUGUGGCUGGGGGUGAAAGGCCAAUCAAACCGGGAGAUAGCUGGUUCUCCCCGAAAGCUAUUUAGGUAGCGCCUCGUGAAUUCAUCUCCGGGGGUAGAGCACUGUUUCGGCAAGGGGGUCAUCCCGACUUACCAACCCGAUGCAAACUGCGAAUACCGGAGAAUGUUAUCACGGGAGACACACGGCGGGUGCUAACGUCCGUCGUGAAGAGGGAAACAACCCAGACCGCCAGCUAAGGUCCCAAAGUCAUGGUUAAGUGGGAAACGAUGUGGGAAGGCCCAGACAGCCAGGAUGUUGGCUUAGAAGCAGCCAUCAUUUAAAGAAAGCGUAAUAGCUCACUGGUCGAGUCGGCCUGCGCGGAAGAUGUAACGGGGCUAAACCAUGCACCGAAGCUGCGGCAGCGACACUAUGUGUUGUUGGGUAGGGGAGCGUUCUGUAAGCCUGCGAAGGUGUACUGUGAGGUAUGCUGGAGGUAUCAGAAGUGCGAAUGCUGACAUAAGUAACGAUAAAGCGGGUGAAAAGCCCGCUCGCCGGAAGACCAAGGGUUCCUGUCCAACGUUAAUCGGGGCAGGGUGAGUCGACCCCUAAGGCGAGGCCGAAAGGCGUAGUCGAUGGGAAACAGGUUAAUAUUCCUGUACUUGGUGUUACUGCGAAGGGGGGACGGAGAAGGCUAUGUUGGCCGGGCGACGGUUGUCCCGGUUUAAGCGUGUAGGCUGGUUUUCCAGGCAAAUCCGGAAAAUCAAGGCUGAGGCGUGAUGACGAGGCACUACGGUGCUGAAGCAACAAAUGCCCUGCUUCCAGGAAAAGCCUCUAAGCAUCAGGUAACAUCAAAUCGUACCCCAAACCGACACAGGUGGUCAGGUAGAGAAUACCAAGGCGCUUGAGAGAACUCGGGUGAAGGAACUAGGCAAAAUGGUGCCGUAACUUCGGGAGAAGG